RNAcentral lists this ribosomal RNA (318 nucleotides) under uncultured bacterium. RNAcentral's name for it is "bacterial SSU rRNA". It matches the Rfam family "Bacterial small subunit ribosomal RNA", at positions 29 to 351 of the family's 1533-position model. The record is from RNAcentral.
AAUAAACGCUGGCGGCGUGCCUAACACAUGCAAGUCGAGCGAGAAAGCUCCUUCGGGAGUUAGUAAAGCGGCGAACGGGUGAGCAACGCGUGAGAAUCUACCCUUUAGUGAAGAAUACCCUCGAGAAAUCGAGGCUAAUACUGCAUAAGUCCCUUCGGGGAGAAAGAUGGCCUCUUUGCUAUCGCUAAAGGAUGAGCUUGCGUACUAUUAGCUAGUUGGCGGGGUAACGGCCCACCAAGGCGAUGAUGGUUAACCGGCCUGAGAGGGUGUACGGUCACACUGGAACUUAGACACGGUCCAGACUCCUACGGGAGGCAG